AUGAGGAGCUUGCUCUUCAAAUCGAGUGGCGAACGGGUGAGUAACGCGUGAGGAACCUGCCUCAAAGAGGGGGACAACAGUUGGAAACGACUGCUAAUACCGCAUAAGCCCACGGCUCGGCAUCGAGCAGGGGGAAAAGGAGCAAUCCGCUUUGAGAUGGCCUCGCGUCCGAUUAGCUAGUUGGUGAGGUAACGGCCCACCAAGGCGACGAUCGGUAGCCGGACUGAGAGGUUGAACGGCCACAUUGGGACUGAGACACGGCCCAGACUCCUACGGGAGGCAGCAGUGGGGAAUAUUGCACAAUGGGGGAAACCCUGAUGCAGCGACGCCGCGUGGAGGAAGAAGGUCUUCGGAUUGUAAACUCCUGUUGUUGAGGAAGAUAAUGACGGUACUCAACAAGGAAGUGACGGCUAACUACGUGCCAGCAGCCGCGGUAAAACGUAGGUCGCAAGCGUUGUCCGGAAUUACUGGGUGUAAAGGGAGCGCAGGCGGGAGAACAAGUUGGAAGUGAAAUCCAUGGGCUCAACCCAUGAACUGCUUUCAAAACUGUUUUUCUUGAGUAGUGCAGAGGUAGGCGGAAUUCCCGGUGUAGCGGUGGAAUGCGUAGAUAUCGGGAGGAACACCAGUGGCGAAGGCGGCCU
This 641-nucleotide ribosomal RNA is filed under the name uncultured Lachnospiraceae bacterium. RNAcentral describes it as "bacterial SSU rRNA". It matches the Rfam family "Bacterial small subunit ribosomal RNA", at positions 71 to 727 of the family's 1533-position model. Lineage: Bacteria; Bacillati; Bacillota; Clostridia; Lachnospirales; Lachnospiraceae. The record is from RNAcentral.